AUUUACAGAUGGAAGGCAAGCUCCACUAUACAAAGGACAGCUCAGGAGGAAGGAAGAAAACAAAGCACUGGCUAGCCGCAUUAUGCUUCUCAAUAAUGAGAUAGAUCAAGGCAUGAAAAAUUGGUCAGAGAGGCAAGAAAAAUGCAGAGAGGAGCAGCUGCUGAGACAGAAGCACCAACUGAAGAGCAAGGCAUUAUUUAAAAAAACUGCAAAACCCAAAUAAAUACAGAUUGUAUAUUUGUACUGUGUAUUUUCUACCAUUCCAGGAGAUCACUGUAGGUUUUUCCACUGGUUGUGUGUUUGAGGUAGAUGUCACUGUUUUAGUAAAGGUUUUAGCGCACAAGGUGAUGGCACAAUAAACAAAACCAUAACUAGAAAGAUAAUGUUAAACCUAUUCCCUCCUGGAGGGUACCUCAGUAAUCUACACGUGCCGAGGUUUAUGAGGACCUGGAAAAGUCUGAGUGUUUCAAUCUUGUAAAUGUCACAUCAAAAAUACAACCACCUGCAACAUUUCAUUAAAUGUUUCAUUAAAUUAAACAUUUCAGUUCUUCUCCUAA
Molecule: long non-coding RNA, 557 nt
Organism: Pseudophryne corroboree (corroboree frog)
Lineage: Eukaryota; Metazoa; Chordata; Amphibia; Anura; Myobatrachidae
Exons: 2
Source: RefSeq, a predicted model, not a curated record